Molecule: ribosomal RNA, 253 nt
Filed under: Acanthamoeba sp. UIC 6191
Lineage: Eukaryota; Discosea; Longamoebia; Acanthamoebidae
Description: partial small subunit ribosomal RNA
Rfam family: Eukaryotic small subunit ribosomal RNA
Source: RNAcentral
UAUGAAAGAUUAACUUCUGCGAAAGCAUCUGCCAAGGAUGUUUUCAUUAAUCAAGAACGAAAGUUAGGGGAUCGAAGACGAUCAGAUACCGUCGUAGUCUUAACCAUAAACGAUGCCGACCAGCGAUUAGGAGACGUUGAAUACAAAACACCACCAUCGGUGCGGUCGUCCUUGGCGUCUUUGUUUCGGCCGGGGUGCGGGGACGGCUUAGCCCGGUGGCACCGGUGAAUGACUCCCCUAGCAGCUUGUGAGA